GACGAACGCUGGCGGCGUGCUUAACACAUGCAAGUCGAACGGAAAGGCCCUGCUUUUGUGGGGUGCUCGAGUGGCGAACGGGUGAGUAACACGUGAGUAACCUGCCCUUGACUUUGGGAUAACUUCAGGAAACUGGGGCUAAUACCGGAUAGGAGCUCCUGCUGCAUGGUGGGGGUUGGAAAGUUUCGGCGGUUGGGGAUGGACUCGCGGCUUAUCAGCUUGUUGGUGGGGUAGUGGCUUACCAUGGCUUUGACGGGUAGCCGGCCUGAGAGGGUGACCGGCCACAUUGGGACUGAGAUACGGCCCAGACUCCUACGGGAGGCAGCAGUGGGGAAUAUUGCACAAUGGGCGGAAGCCUGAUGCAGCAACGCCGCGUGCGGGAUGACGGCCUUCGGGCUGUAAACCGCUUUCGCCUGUGACGAAGCGUGAGUGACGGUAAUGGGUAAAGAAGCACCGGCUAACUACGUG
RNAcentral lists this ribosomal RNA (468 nucleotides) under uncultured bacterium. RNAcentral describes it as "partial 16S ribosomal RNA". It matches the Rfam family "Bacterial small subunit ribosomal RNA", at positions 28 to 507 of the family's 1533-position model. The record is from RNAcentral.